This 505-nucleotide ribosomal RNA is filed under the name uncultured bacterium. Its description in RNAcentral is "partial 16S ribosomal RNA". It matches the Rfam family "Bacterial small subunit ribosomal RNA", at positions 28 to 507 of the family's 1533-position model. The record is from RNAcentral.
GACGAACGCUGGCGGCGUGCCUAAUACAUGCAAGUAGAACGCACAGUUUAUACCGUAGCUUGCUACACCAUAAACUGUGAGUUGCGAACGGGUGAGUAACGCGUAGGUAACCUGCCUGGUAGCGGGGGAUAACUAUUGGAAACGAUAGCUAAUACCGCAUAAUAUUGAUUAUUGCAUGAUAAUUGAUUGAAAGAUGCUAUUGCAUCACUACCAGAUGGACCUGCGUUGUAUUAGCUAGUAGGUGAGGUAACGGCUCACCUAGGCGACGAUACAUAGCCGAACUGAGUGGGUGAUUGGCCACCCUGGGACUGGGACACGGCCCAGACUCCUACGGGAGGCAGCAGUAGGGAAUCUUCGGCAAUGGACGAAAGUCUGACCGAGCAAAGCCGCGUGAGUGAAGAAGGUCUUCGGAUCGGAAAGCUCUGUUGUAAGAGAAGAACGGGUGUGAGAGUGGAAAGUUCACACUGUGACGGUAUCUUAACAGAAAGGGACGGCUAACUACGUG